UACGUAGGUCCCGAGCGUUGUCCGGAUUUAUUGGGCGUAAAGCGAGCGCAGGUGGUUUAUUAAGUCUGGUGUAAAAGGCAGUGGCUCAACCAUUGUAUGCAUUGGAAACUGGUAGACUUGAGUGCAGGAGAGGAGAGUGGAAUUCCAUGUGUAGCGGUGAAAUGCGUAGAUAUCGGGAGGAACACCAGUGGCGAAGGCGGCUUCCUGGCCUGUUACUGACGCUGAGAUGCGAAAGCGUGGGGAGCGAACGGG
RNAcentral lists this ribosomal RNA (252 nucleotides) under uncultured microorganism. Its description in RNAcentral is "partial 16S ribosomal RNA". It matches the Rfam family "Bacterial small subunit ribosomal RNA", at positions 524 to 776 of the family's 1533-position model. The record is from RNAcentral.